UACGUAGGUGGCGAGCGUUGUCCGGAUUUACUGGACGUAAAGGGAGCGUAGGCGGACUUUUAAGUGAGAUGUGAAAUACUCGGGCUCAACUUGAGUGCUGCAUUUCAAACUGGAAGUCUAGAGUGCAGGAGAGAAGAAUGGAAUUCCUAGUGUAGCGGUGAAAUGCGUAGAGAUUAGGAAGAACACCAGUGGCGAAGGCGAUUCUCUGGACUGUAACUGACGCUGAGGCUCGAAAGCGUGGGGAGCAAACAGG
This 253-nucleotide ribosomal RNA is filed under the name uncultured bacterium. RNAcentral describes it as "partial 16S ribosomal RNA". It matches the Rfam family "Bacterial small subunit ribosomal RNA", at positions 524 to 776 of the family's 1533-position model. The record is from RNAcentral.